AUUCUACUCCCUCCGUUGCACAACACAUGCCUUCUAUUUGUCAAAAUAUAUAUGUAUCUAGACAUGUUUUAGUAUAUAGGUACAUCCAUUUUUGGACAAAUGGAAGUCAAGUAUUUUGGAACGGAGGGAGUACACA
Triticum aestivum (bread wheat) is the source of this 136-nucleotide non-coding RNA. The record is from Rfam. NCBI's taxonomy places the organism in Eukaryota, Viridiplantae, Streptophyta, Magnoliopsida, Poales, Poaceae.